CCCUUUGGACUUUGCCUGUAGGUUUGGUGCUAGCUCACUCUGCCCCUCCUCCUCCCUUUAACUCUCUCCAUUGAAUGUUAUCCAUUCACUUAAAACACUGCUUCCCGU
Non-coding RNA from Myotis lucifugus (little brown bat), 108 nucleotides. The record is from Rfam. NCBI's taxonomy places the organism in Eukaryota, Metazoa, Chordata, Mammalia, Chiroptera, Vespertilionidae.